GAAAUGCGAUAACUAGUGUGAAUUGCAGAAUUCCGUGAAUCAUCGAGUCUUUGAACGCACAUUGCGCCCCCUGGUAUUCCGGGGGGCAUGUCUGUCCGAGCGUCAUUGCUGCCCAUCAAGCACGGCUUGUGUGUUGGGUCGUCGUCCCCUCUCCGGGGGGGACGGGCCCCAAAGGCAGCGGCGGCACCGCGUCCGAUCCUCGAGCGUAUGGGGCUUUGUCACCCGCUCUGUAGGCCCGGCCGGCGCUUGCCGAACGCAAAUCAAUCUUUUUCCAGGUUGACCUCGGAUCAGGUAGGGAUACCCGCUGAACUUAAGC
Molecule: unclassified non-coding RNA, 316 nt
Filed under: plant metagenome
Description: partial contains 5.8S ribosomal RNA, internal transcribed spacer 2, and large subunit ribosomal RNA
Rfam family: 5.8S ribosomal RNA (bases 1-105)
Source: RNAcentral